AAAAAGAUUACUUUAUUAAGCCCCUGUAUUUCUGAGUUAGGAGACUGAAAGUCAGAUUUAAUGGUUAAAUCUCAAGCCUAGCUCUCUGUUGAGAUCUCUGCUAGCAACUUCCAGUACUGUAGAUGGAAACGAUAUGUGUCUUUGAGCAAAUAUUUUCCCAAAGUUCCUUCAUAUUCCCCCGAGGGAAUAAAUAGUUGCUGUGUUGGGUUGGUGUGAAUUCUGGCAAAGUGCUUCCAAAUAAAGCCAGCUCUGCUUUGUGACUUUCUUACUGUAUCCAUCUCUUGGCAGCUAUGCCUCCGUGGACUUCAUCAGUUAUUAUAUAAAGUGAGCCCUCAAAGCACUGGGGAGAUCUGUUUCUGAGGAGUGUGACAGUCAGUCCUGCUGAGUUGACACUUGCUUCUUUGGCUGUGAUUCUGGGUAUUUGACACCAAGGGGACUCCUGAUUUUAUGUGUGGAGAGGCAGAAUUGAUGAAACGUCAGUGUUCGGGGGAGUAUAUAGGCAAUUCUUUUCUUCUCUUCCUCCAGCAGUUUAGGGUUUUUAGAAUUUGAGAAUUUUCAAGUCAAACUUUAUUGAUUCCUCAUUAUUUUACCUAUUUAUUUGUGCUAAUGUACUGUGAAUCAAUACAGUAAUUAUUGCAGGGCUUAGUUGGAAGAACGUUUCUCUCUGUGAGCUUGUUUUUGAAGUGCCUUCUUAUAUAGCAGAGGACUCCCUUAAUGAAGGCAGUGGUCUAGAUAAAUUGCUUACAUCUCUCCCGUAACUCACCCCCCUCAAAAA
This 775-nucleotide long non-coding RNA is filed under the name Bos taurus (domestic cattle). Its description in RNAcentral is "long non-coding RNA NONBTAT024749". The record is from RNAcentral. Lineage: Eukaryota; Metazoa; Chordata; Mammalia; Artiodactyla; Bovidae.